RNAcentral lists this ribosomal RNA (151 nucleotides) under Astreopora incrustans. Its description in RNAcentral is "partial 5.8S rRNA". It matches the Rfam family "5.8S ribosomal RNA". Rfam says of the family: 5.8S ribosomal RNA (5.8S rRNA) is a component of the large subunit of the eukaryotic ribosome. It is transcribed by RNA polymerase I as part of the 45S precursor that also contains 18S and 28S rRNA. Functionally, it is thought that 5.8S rRNA may be involved in ribosome translocation. The record is from RNAcentral. Lineage: Eukaryota; Metazoa; Cnidaria; Anthozoa; Scleractinia; Acroporidae.
CUUUUGACGGUGGAUCUCUUGGCUCACGCAUCGAUGAAGAACGCAGCCAGCUGCGAUAAGUAGUGUGAAUUGCAGAAUUCAGUGAAUCAUCGAAUCUUUGAACGCAAACGGCGCUCUUGGGUUCUCCCAGGAGCAUGUCUGUCUGAGUGUC